UACGUAGGGGGCAAGCGUUGUCCGGAUUUAUUGGGCGUAAAGAGCGUGUAGGCGGUUUGGUAGGUCCGCUGUGAAAACUCGAGGCUCAACCUCGAGACGUCGGCGGAAACCCUCUGGCUAGAGUCCGGAAGAGGAGAGUGGAAUUCCUGGUGUAGCGGUGAAAUGCGCAGAUAUCAGGAAGAACACCCGUGGCGAAGGCGGCUCUCUGGGACGGUACUGACGCUGAGACGCGAAAGCGUGGGGAGCAAACAGG
This 253-nucleotide ribosomal RNA is filed under the name uncultured bacterium. RNAcentral's name for it is "partial 16S ribosomal RNA". It matches the Rfam family "Bacterial small subunit ribosomal RNA", at positions 524 to 776 of the family's 1533-position model. The record is from RNAcentral.